GAUAUUGUUCGUUAUAUCCUUGGGGGAUGUUAUUCCUAAUGUCACACGGGGUGUACUCCCUGUCAUAUUAUUCAUAAUAUCCAAGGGGGAUGUUAUUUUUAUUGUCACCGGGGGUGACAUUACAUAUUAAAAAUGCAUAUUCAACACCUGUGAUACUAUUCCUAAUAUCCUAGGGGCAUGCUCUUCCGAAUGUCACAUGGGGUGUACUCCAUGUGUGUACACCUGCUGUGAUAUUAUUCAUAAUAUCCUAGGGGAAUGUUACUCCUGAUGACACAGGCGGUGUACACCAUGUGUGUAACCCUCCUGUGUUAUUAUUCAUAAUAUCCUAGGGGGAUGUUUCUUUUAAUGUCACAAAGUGUGUACAAAACGUCACAGAGGUGUACACGCUGUGAUGUGAUCUGUAAUACCCUAGAAGGAUGUUACUCCUAAUGUAUCACAGGGGUGUACAUGCUUUGAUGUUAUUUGCAAUCUCAUAGAGAGAUAUUACUUCAAAUAUCACAGUGGAUGUACACACAUAGUAUAUACCCUGUGAUAGUAUUCAUAAUAUCCUAGGAAGAUACAACUCCUGAUAUCAGUGUGUGUACCCCGUGUGUGUACACCCUUGAUGUUAGUCGUAAUAUCCAGGGUAAAUAUUACUCCUCAUAUCACACAGUGUGCACACCCUGUGAUAUUUUUCCUCAUACUUUAGGGAGAUAUUGCUUCUAAUAUCACAGUGGGUGUACCCCAUCUGUGUAUACUCUGUGACAGUAUAUUCUAUAUCCUAGGGAGGUAUUACUCCUAAUAUCACAUUGUGUGUUCACCCUGUGAUAUCAUUCUUAUUUGACCUUGCUGCCUUUUUUAACCCACACUACAAAAGGAAUGGAACAGAUAAGAAGAUACUGAAAUUGGACGGUGCUGCCGUGCGGCUGCCGCAGGACACCUUUAAUAUCCCUGUUUCUCAGGCUGUAGAUGAAGGGGUUCAGCAUGGAGGUGAUCACCGUGUACAUCACUGAGGCCACUGCAGCCUUUCUCGGGGAAGAUGACACAUCUGAACUGAGGUACCCUCCAAAGCCUGUUCCGUAAAAUCAGCAAACAACUGACAGGAUAACUUCAGGAAGUGGGUAUUAAUUCUCACGGUAUAAGUGAAGACAUUAAGCACCAGAGUUUAAGUAGCUUGAUCCACUGAAAGAGAUUCAACUGUGUGGAACCUAUGCCGUGGAGAAUUGCUUUCUGCCAUUGUUAUCGUCCAGCAGUUGCCGAAUAGCUCUGACCUGAGCAAAGCAGUGAAACGCGGUGCUGUUGAGUGGGUUGCCACUGCACCUUUUUCAACUACUCUAGUCUUGUGGAGAAAAUACCCCUUCUAAAUUUUUUCUUCAUUGAAUACUCUCCCUCAGCUCCAGAGUACCAUAUAGAGUUUUCUUGUAUUUUAGAGUUACUGUUUUAUCAAAGUUUACCAGUCUUUUGUAUUACAUUUCUCCUGUCUAAAUCGACUGUGUGGUUUCUACUCAUUAUGGAUAUAGAUUGAUACAAACUCAAUAAAUAUUUUUGAAUGAAUAA
Long non-coding RNA from Homo sapiens (human), 1536 nucleotides. Ensembl annotates it as long intergenic non-protein coding RNA 1198. NCBI's taxonomy places the organism in Eukaryota, Metazoa, Chordata, Mammalia, Primates, Hominidae. The record is from Ensembl.